GGAUAACGUCCCGAAAGGGACGCUAAUACCGCAUAACAUGCUGUCCUUUAAGAGAUGGACAUCCAAGCCUGAGGCCGCAAGGCCUGGCGCUUGAAGAGGGGCCCGCGCCUGAUUAGCUAGUUGGUGGGGUAAUGGCUCACCAAGGCAACGAUCAGUAUCCGGCCUGAGAGGGCGGACGGACACACUGGGACUGAGACACGGCCCAGACUCCUACGGGAGGCAGCAGUGGGGAAUUGUUCGCAAUGGGCGCAAGCCUGACGACGC
Molecule: ribosomal RNA, 264 nt
Filed under: uncultured Acidobacteriota bacterium
Lineage: Bacteria; Pseudomonadati; Acidobacteriota
Description: uncultured Acidobacteria bacterium partial 16S ribosomal RNA
Rfam family: Bacterial small subunit ribosomal RNA
Source: RNAcentral